Molecule: long non-coding RNA, 1710 nt
Organism: Hemiscyllium ocellatum (epaulette shark)
Lineage: Eukaryota; Metazoa; Chordata; Chondrichthyes; Orectolobiformes; Hemiscylliidae
Exons: 2
Source: RefSeq, a predicted model, not a curated record
CGCGGCCGGACAAAGACAGUGUGACUGAGUGUGGGAGAGGAAUGGCGCCGGCGGCUGAAGGAACAAGAACAGAAACCGCUGGAAAAGCUGAGCAGGUCCGGCAGCUCGUGUUGAGAGAAAUAGUAUUUGAAGAUCUGAAGACGGAAAUUUCAAAAUCGACAGAUGAAGGCCUUAUGCCUGAACCAUUGACUUCUGUUCCUCGGAUGCUGCCUGACCUACAGUGCUUUUCCAGCGUCACACUUUUGAAUUCUUGACUCUCCAGCAUCUGCAAUCCUCACUUUCACAUCAAUGUCUGACAGUGACACUGGGACAUCGGGACUGCAACGAAUUUUGAGUGUGAUUCUGUGAGAGGAGCAGAGCAUUUGCUUCCUGCUCAAGUACAUUUUCAGAAUCCGUGGGACUGGAUGAGAGACCCUACGUUGCAACACAGUGAGUGUGGAGCCUGAAACAGUUAUACGGCCUGGAAAGAGGAAUUCACGGCAGGGUGGGGCUGUACCCACAUUUGUGUGCAGCUGAAGUUUUGGCCAUAGAGAAACCCGAGGAAUCCCGCUCCGUGAAGAAACCAUGGAAGUGUGGCAACUGUGGGAAAGGCUCCUGUGCCCCGUUUCCUCUGGAGACUCAUCGGCGCAGUCACACCGGUGAGAGGCCCUUCAGCUGCCACGAGUGCAGGAAAGGCUUUACCCAGGCAUCUGUCCUGCUGACCCACUGGCGGGUCCACACAGGGGAGAGACCUUUCAGCUGCCCCCAGUGCCCUGCUGAGGCACCACCGAAUCCACAAGGAGGGGGAGGCCACUCUCCUGCCCCAAGUGCGGGAAGGCCUUCAGUGAUUCCUCCCACCUGCUGAUCCACCGGCGGGUCCACAUGGGGGAGUGGCCCUUCAGCUGCCCAGAUUGCGGUAAAGGCUUCAGCAAUUCCUCCACCCUGCAGACCCACCAGCGGGUCCACACGGGGGAGAGGCCCUUCAGCUGCUGUGAAUGCGGGAAGUGCUUUACCCAGGUCUUUGCCCAGCUGAGACACCAGCGGUCCCACACCGGGGAGAGGCCCUUUAGUUGUCCUGAGUGCAGGAAGUGCUUUACCCAGGCCAUCACACUUCAGAAACACCAGCAGUUCCACAAAGGGGAGAAGCCACCAUCUUUGUUUUUCUUCUUCUUUCCGUCUCCUCUUUCAUUGACGCGCGUCAUCUGGGCCCCCUCCAAUCAGAGCGCACCUUACUCCACCUGACCAAUUGUGGUCGGCGCUAGUUGUUACUGACAGAUCUUGUGUCCAAUUGCCAAUUUGGGGUAAAAAUGGCGGGAGCCACAAUUUCUUUUCCCUGUGGUUGCACAUCUCAUUCCAUUUGCUUUUCUCUUCCGAGGGGGAGGGGGAAUCCCAAACUAGAGGGCACAAGUUUAGGGUGAGAGGGGAAAAAUUUAAAAGGGUUGCAAGGAUUAGAACCAUAAGUUUGAAAGUUAAUUCACAUCAAGAAAAGCCCUCUCUUACGACCCGAACAAAAUAUUGUUCACAGCCUAUUACUGACUAAUCAGGAAGGAUGUUGUGAAACGUAAGAGUUCAGAAAUUACUUACAAGAAUGUUGCUAGAGUUAUAAUUUCAGUUACAUUACACUGUAAAUUUUUGCUAUAAAUUCUGUGUUACGAUCAAUCUACUAUCACCUGAUGAAGGAGCAUCGCUCCAAAAGCUAGUGUGCUUCCAAUUAAACCUGUUGGACUAUAA